RNAcentral lists this long non-coding RNA (431 nucleotides) under Carica papaya (papaya). RNAcentral's name for it is "long non-coding RNA (CPAP_LNC011853)". Lineage: Eukaryota; Viridiplantae; Streptophyta; Magnoliopsida; Brassicales; Caricaceae. The record is from RNAcentral.
AACUUCUCCCUCAUCUCGCUUUCCAACUCCCGCAUUGCUUCUUCCAAGGUAUGAUAUUGCCACUGCACCUUCACUAUGGGAAUCAUCUUGUUGCAUAAGACCUUGUCAGUCCAUCUAAGAAUCUCCACGGGGAUUUUCUCAUUCAUCAUAUCAGCUUGUAUCGGCGCUUUAUUAUGAGGAAUGAUAUGAUACGGGUCAGGGUGGUACUUUUUGAGCAUUGAGAUGUAGAAAAUAUCAUGUAAACCCAUAAACUCUCUGGGUAGAGUAAGGCGGUACGCCAUAGGUCCAAUGUACUUAAUGAUCCAAAAAGGUCCCAUAUAACGAGGGCCUAACUUCCCUCUUUUCCUGAAUCGUAUCUUCCCCUUAUAAGGGAAAACUUUAAGGAAAAAUUGGUCUCCAAUGGCAAAUUUCAGGGGUCACCUACGAUUAUC